This 497-nucleotide ribosomal RNA is filed under the name uncultured bacterium. Its description in RNAcentral is "partial 16S ribosomal RNA". It matches the Rfam family "Bacterial small subunit ribosomal RNA", at positions 28 to 507 of the family's 1533-position model. The record is from RNAcentral.
GAUGAACGCUGGCGGCGUGCCUAAUACAUGCAAGUCGAGCGAACGGACGAGAAGCUUGUUUCUCUGAUGUUAGCGGCGGACGGGUGAGUAACACGUGGAUAACCUACCUAUAAGACUGGGAUAACUUCGGGAAACCGGAGCUAAUACCGGAUAAUAUUUUGAACCGCAUGGUUCAAAAGUGAAAGACGGUCUUGCUGUCACUUAUAGAUGGAUCCGCGCUGCAUUAGCUAGUUGGUAAGGUAACGGGUUACCAAGGCAACGAUGCAUAGCCGACCUGAGAGGCUGAUCGGCGACACUGGAAGUGAGACGCGGUCCAGGCUCCUACGGGAGGCAGCAGAAUGGAAUCUUCCGCAGUGGGCGAAAGCCUGACGGAGCAACGCCACGUGAGCGAUGACAGUCUUCGGAUCGUAAAACUCUCUUAUUAGGGAAGAACAUAUGUGUAAGUAACUGAGCACAUCUUGACGGUACCUAAUCAGAAAGCCACGGCUAACUACGUG